GUUGGGCCAAGCGCGCCAAGAAGCCCAAAACGUUUGCACCAAGCCCAAAUAUAGCCGCCGCCCCGACCAGUUUUCCCCAAACCCUCGUCCCCAACCGCCGCCGCCGCCGCCGCCCCCACGACCAAGCCCUCCACCGCCGAGGUCCUCCGCCCACGACCGCAACUUCCACCGCCGAGCCCCUCCGCCCACGACCGCAACUUCCACCGCCGACUCCCUCCGCCGCAGGUUCCCACCAUCCUCGUCCUCGCCAAGGUCGACGCCGAGCGCCGCCUGGUCCCCGCACGAGCUCACGCGCAGCAAGCACGCGCCACUCCCCCAUGGCGUCGUCGCCGCAGCCUAUCCUCAACGCCGCCCCUGCUGCUGGCCCUCACCGGCCGAGCGCCUCGCCACUGGUCCGCCGCCCGACCUCCUUCCACCUCUGCGCCCAUGGACGGCCUCCACCCCGCGACUCUGGUCAUCGACGCCUCGCCUAGCCUGCGCCACGGCCCGUGGCCGCUGCACCACCACCGCGUCGGAGCAUCCCCGUCCUUGCCCUAGGUCGCCGGCCUUGUUCUUCCUUGUCCAGUAGAUCGAGGCCAGCAUUGCCCCAGAUCGGCCAGCUCUUAAGCCUCCUCCACCGCCUGUUGCUGCUUUGCUCCUCUGGCGGCUGCAGCAAGAGCCAUUCCUGCUGUUGGCUCUCUCCUCCACUGACUACCAGCCAGAAAAAUCCAUCGCAAGGUAAGCCUCUCAUGAUGCAUUCUUUUUUCGGCAGUAUGAUGUAUGCAUCGAUUGUAUGAGCCAGAAAAAACAUUUGAAUUGAAUUGAUGUAUGUCCAGGAGCUUGGGGUCAUCUCUCAUGCAAUGUAUUUGAUUUGGUUUUGAUGUAUGACUGUAUGACAGAUUGACCCUCUCCCACUUCUGCAUUUUUUUAAUUAUAGAUCAAAUUAACGAAUACAUUCAGUUUCUUUGGGAUGAUGCACCUAAAUAUAGUCAAGUGUGUAGUGAUUAGAAAUUUUGGAUGCUUUGGGGCAUUUUUCAGAUGAUCUAUGUGCCUAUUCAGGUUAUCAAAAAGAAUAAUGUGCCUAUUUAGACCAGUUAUAACAGGAAGGUGUUUUAAGUGUAAAUAUCAAGGAACCACAAUUGUUUGGGCAUAGGUUCUAGAAAGCACAAUUUUUGGGCAAAACAAAUCACUUAACUGCAACAAUUGGGGCGGAGACCUCGAGCUAGCUAUUCUUGUGCAGGGGUUGCACCGCUGCUUCAUCUCGUCCUUACAGAACGACUCCACUCAGGCAACUAAAAACCCAUAAGGCACAUACUUGGUCUUUCUUCUACUUUAAGCACCUCUACUUUGAGCACGUUGCUCAGUCCAAGGCAAGUUCUUUGUCCAAUUUUAUGCUUACAAAUCCUGUCUAAUAUUUUGAACCAUUACAAUGUGUUAUGUGCAUGUGGUGGAGAGGAUGUGAAUGGAUCUGAUGGAGCAGUGGAGCUCCUAUCAAGCCUGAUGCACUUUACUCUGGUGGAUAGUACUCUGGUUUGAGUCAUGUUCAGAUAAAAAAAGACCCAAAAGUGAAAAAUGUGCUGCACUAUAACAAUCUCAUCGAAUGCCUUGAUCUUCAUCUUACAGAAAUUGAUUUGAUCGACUACCGAGGCAGCACAUCUGAGAUUAAAUUGGCCAGGUUCUUUGUUCUGGAGGCAAGUGUGCUCAAGGUAAUAAGGUUUGUCGUUCUUUGGCACAACAAUGAAUGGCGUGCUGAUCACCGCAAGCGUCUAAGUCUAAAUGACAAAGUCAUCGCAGAAGCUGAUUUUUUUUUGAAACAUCAAGUGGCCAGAGACUCGAAAACUUAUUUGCCCAUUAGUGACUUGUCAGGGCGGUGGAUUUUAGUUUGUACGAUAAUGCUGCAUCCACCUAAAGUAACGAAAGUUCUCACGUAAACUUCCUAGUAAUUCCCUCUUCAUAGGUGUAGCAUUACUCCUAACAUUUGUAAUAUCAGUUUGAAACUUGUAAUAUUGUCGUGUCCUAUUUCUGUGUUUUCAAAA
Molecule: long non-coding RNA, 2015 nt
Organism: Aegilops tauschii subsp. strangulata
Lineage: Eukaryota; Viridiplantae; Streptophyta; Magnoliopsida; Poales; Poaceae
Source: RefSeq, a predicted model, not a curated record